Molecule: ribosomal RNA, 253 nt
Filed under: uncultured bacterium
Lineage: Bacteria
Description: partial 16S ribosomal RNA
Rfam family: Bacterial small subunit ribosomal RNA
Source: RNAcentral
UACGUAGGGUGCGAGCGUUAAUCGGAAUUACUGGGCGUAAAGAGCGCGCAGGCGGUUGGAUAAGUCGAAUGUGAAAGCCCCCGGCUCAACUGGGGAGGGUCAUUCGAUACUGUCCGACUCGAAGGCAGGAGAGGGAAGCGGAAUUCCCGGUGUAGUGGUGAAAUGCGUAGAUAUCGGGAGGAACACCAGUGGCGAAGGCGGCUUCCUGGCCUGUUCUUGACGCUGAGGCGCGAAAGCUAGGGGAGCAAACGGG